RNAcentral lists this long non-coding RNA (254 nucleotides) under Brassica rapa (field mustard). RNAcentral's name for it is "long non-coding RNA (BRAP_LNC000241)". The record is from RNAcentral. Lineage: Eukaryota; Viridiplantae; Streptophyta; Magnoliopsida; Brassicales; Brassicaceae.
AAUAGAUGAUGUUUUAGAGAGUUUUUGAUGUUUCAAAAUAGAUGAUGUUUUCAUAUUUCAAGGUAUCUUUUAACUUUAUCAAAAACUGUGUAACCAAUUAUAUUUUGUAGUAUGUUUUGUGAUUGGUUGAAUAAUUUUUAAUUUAUAUUUUAGUGAUACUUUUUAGAUAAAAAACAAGUUUUUUAGUAUUUGUGUCCCAACCUAAAACUUCAUGUAUUUUGAAACAGAGGGAGUCAAGAAAGUCCAUAUAAAAC